Molecule: ribosomal RNA, 751 nt
Filed under: Bacillus subtilis
Lineage: Bacteria; Bacillati; Bacillota; Bacilli; Caryophanales; Bacillaceae
Description: bacterial SSU rRNA
Rfam family: Bacterial small subunit ribosomal RNA
Source: RNAcentral
AUGUUAGCGGCGGACGGGUGAGUAACACGUGGGUAACCUGCCUGUAAGACUGGGAUAACUCCGGGAAACCGGGGCUAAUACCGGAUGGUUGUUUGAACCGCAUGGUUCAAACAUAAAAGGUGGCUUCGGCUACCACUUACAGAUGGACCCGCGGCGCAUUAGCUAGUUGGUGAGGUAACGGCUCACCAAGGCAACGAUGCGUAGCCGACCUGAGAGGGUGAUCGGCCACACUGGGACUGAGACACGGCCCAGACUCCUACGGGAGGCAGCAGUAGGGAAUCUUCCGCAAUGGACGAAAGUCUGACGGAGCAACGCCGCGUGAGUGAUGAAGGUUUUCGGAUCGUAAAGCUCUGUUGUUAGGGAAGAACAAGUACCGUUCGAAUAGGGCGGUACCUUGACGGUACCUAACCAGAAAGCCACGGCUAACUACGUGCCAGCAGCCGCGGUAAUACGUAGGUGGCAAGCGUUGUCCGGAAUUAUUGGGCGUAAAGGGCUCGCAGGCGGUUUCUUAAGUCUGAUGUGAAAGCCCCCGGCUCAACCGGGGAGGGUCAUUGGAAACUGGGGAACUUGAGUGCAGAAGAGGAGAGUGGAAUUCCACGUGUAGCGGUGAAAUGCGUAGAGAUGUGGAGGAACACCAGUGGCGAAGGCGACUCUCUGGUCUGUAACUGACGCUGAGGAGCGAAAGCGUGGGGAGCGAACACGAUUAUAUACUCUGGUAGUCCACGCCGUAUACGAUGAGUGCUACGUGUUA